This 445-nucleotide ribosomal RNA is filed under the name uncultured bacterium. Its description in RNAcentral is "partial 16S ribosomal RNA". It matches the Rfam family "Bacterial small subunit ribosomal RNA", at positions 354 to 796 of the family's 1533-position model. The record is from RNAcentral.
GUGAGGAAUAUUGGUCAAUGGGCGAGAGCCUGAACCAGCCAAGUCGCGUGAAGGAAGAAGGAUCUAUGGUUCGUAAACUUCUUUUGCAGGGGAAUAAAGUGCAGGACGUGUCCUGUUUUGUAUGUACCCUGAGAAUAAGGAUCGGCUAACUCCGUGCCAGCAGCCGCGGUAAUACGGAGGAUCCGAGCGUUAUCCGGAUUUAUUGGGUUUAAAGGGUGCGUAGGUGGUUUGAUAAGUCAGCGGUGAAAGUUUGCAGCUUAACUGUAAAAAUGCCGUUGAAACUGUCGGACUUGAGUGUAAAUGAGGUAGGCGGAAUGCGUGGUGUAGCGGUGAAAUGCAUAGAUAUCACGCAGAACUCCGAUUGCGAAGGCAGCUUACUAAGCUACAACUGACACUGAAGCACGAAAGCGUGGGGGUCAAACAGGAUUAGAUACCCCGGUAGUCC